RNAcentral lists this ribosomal RNA (524 nucleotides) under uncultured bacterium. Its description in RNAcentral is "bacterial SSU rRNA". It matches the Rfam family "Bacterial small subunit ribosomal RNA", at positions 337 to 867 of the family's 1533-position model. The record is from RNAcentral.
UCCUACGGGAGGCAGCAGUGAGGAAUUUUGCGCAAUGGGGGAAACCCUGACGCAGCGACGCCGCGUGGAGGAUGACGGCCUUCGGGUUGUAAACUCCUGUCAGAAGUGAAGAAUGCCCGCAAGGGUUUGACGGUAACCUCAGAGGAAGCCCCGGCUAACUACGUGCCAGCAGCCGCGGUAAGACGUAGGGGGCGAGCGUUGCUCGGAAUUACUGGGCGUAAAGGGUGUGUAGGUGGCUGAAUAAGUCAAAGAUGAAAUCCCGAGGCUCAACUUCGGAAUCGUCUUUGAUACUGUUCAGCUUGAGGUUAGUUGAGGAGAGCGGAAUUCCCGGUGGAGCGGUGAAAUGCGUAGAUAUCGGGAGGAACACCUGAGGCGUAGGCGGUUCUCUAUACUAAUUCUGACACUGAGACACGAAAGCUAGGGGAGCAAACGGGAUUAGAUACCCCGGUAGUCCUAGCCGUAAACGAUGGACGCUAGAUGUUCCUGCGUUUAUGUGGGAGUGUCGUAGCUAACGCGUUAAGCGU